UACAGAGGGUGCGAGCGUUGUCCGGAAUCACUGGGCGUAAAGGGCGCGUAGGCGGCUUGAUAAGCGUGCGGUGAAAGCCCGGGGCUCAACCCCGGGUCGGCCGUGCGAACUGUCGAGCUGGAGCACUGUAGAGGCAGGUGGAAUUCCGGGUGUAGCGGUGGAAUGCGUAGAGAUCCGGAAGAACACCGGUGGCGACGGCGGCCUGCUGGGCAGUGGCUGACGCUGAGGCGCGACAGCGUGGGGAGCAAACAGG
Molecule: ribosomal RNA, 253 nt
Filed under: uncultured bacterium
Lineage: Bacteria
Description: partial 16S ribosomal RNA
Rfam family: Bacterial small subunit ribosomal RNA
Source: RNAcentral